AUGCAAGUCGUACGCUUCUUUUUCCACCGGAGCUUGCUCCACCGGAAAAAGAAGAGUGGCGAACGGGUGAGUAACACGUGGGUAACCUGCCCAUCAGAAGGGGAUAACACUUGGAAACAGGUGCUAAUACCGUAUAACAAUCGAAACCGCAUGGUUUUGAUUUGAAAGGCGCUUUCGGGUGUCGCUGAUGGAUGGACCCGCGGUGCAUUAGCUAGUUGGUGAGGUAACGGCUCACCAAGGCCACGAUGCAUAGCCGACCUGAGAGGGUGAUCGGCCACAUUGGGACUGAGACACGGCCCAAACUCCUACGGGAGGCAGCAGUAGGGAAUCUUCGGCAAUGGACGAAAGUCUGACCGAGCAACGCCGCGUGAGUGAAGAAGGUUUUCGGAUCGUAAAACUCUGUUGUUAGAGAAGAACAAGGAUGAGAGUAACUGUUCAUCCCUUGACGGUAUCUAACCAGAAAGCCACGGCUAACUACGUGCCAGCAGCCGCGGUAAUACGUAGGUGGCAAGCGUUGUCCGGAUUUAUUGGGCGUAAAGCGAGCGCAGGCGGUUUCUUAAGUCUGAUGUGAAAGCCCCCGGCUCAACCGGGGAGGGUCAUUGGAAACUGGGAGACUUGAGUGCAGAAGAGGAGAGUGGAAUUCCAUGUGUAGCGGUGAAAUGCGUAGAUAUAUGGAGGAACACCAGUGGCGAAGGCGGCUCUCUGGUCUGUAACUGACGCUGAGGCUCGAAAGCGUGGGGAGCAAACAGGAUUAGAUACCCUGGUAGUCCACGCCGUAAACGAUGAGUGCUAAGUGUUGGAGGGUUUCCGCCCUUCAGUGCUGCAGCUAACGCAUUAAGCACUCCGCCUGGGGAGUACGACCGCAAGGUUGAAACUCAAAGGAAUUGACGGGGGCCCGCACAAGCGGUGGAGCAUGUGGUUUAAUUCGAAGCAACGCGAAGAACCUUACCAGGUCUUGACAUCCUUUGACCACUCUAGAGAUAGAGCUUCCCCUUCGGGGGCAAAGUGACAGGUGGUGCAUGGUUGUCGUCAGCUCGUGUCGUGAGAUGUUGGGUUAAGUCCCGCAACGAGCGCAACCCUUAUUGUUAGUUGCCAUCAUUCAGUUGGGCACUCUAGCAAGACUGCCGGUGACAAACCGGAGGAAGGUGGGGAUGACGUCAAAUCAUCAUGCCCCUUAUGACCUGGGCUACACACGUGCUACAAUGGGAAGUACAACGAGUCGCGAAGUCGCGAGGCUAAGCUAAUCUCUUAAAGCUUCUCUCAGUUCGGAUUGUAGGCUGCAACUCGCCUACAUGAAGCCGGAAUCGCUAGUAAUCGCGGAUCAGCACGCCGCGGUGAAUACGUUCCCGGGCCUUGUACACACCGCCCGUCACACCACGAGAGUUUGUAACACCCGAAGUCGGUGAGGUAACCUUUUGGAGCCAGCCGCCUAAGGUGGGAUAGAUGAUUGGGGUGAAGU
This 1459-nucleotide ribosomal RNA is filed under the name Enterococcus durans. Its description in RNAcentral is "bacterial SSU rRNA". It matches the Rfam family "Bacterial small subunit ribosomal RNA". The record is from RNAcentral. Lineage: Bacteria; Bacillati; Bacillota; Bacilli; Lactobacillales; Enterococcaceae.